This 945-nucleotide ribosomal RNA is filed under the name Nannizzia persicolor. RNAcentral describes it as "eukaryotic LSU rRNA". It matches the Rfam family "Eukaryotic large subunit ribosomal RNA", at positions 61 to 1023 of the family's 3401-position model. Lineage: Eukaryota; Fungi; Ascomycota; Eurotiomycetes; Onygenales; Arthrodermataceae. The record is from RNAcentral.
GAAACCAACAGGGAUUGCCCCAGUAACGGCGAGUGAAGCGGCAAGAGCUCAAAUUUGAAAUCUGGCCUCCUUCGGGGGUCCGAGUUGUAAUUUGUAGAGGAUGCUUCGGGUGUGGCCGCCGUCUAAGUUCCUUGGAACAGGACGUCAGAGAGGGUGAGAAUCCCGUCUUGGGCGGCCGGUCCGCGCCCGUGUGAAGCUCCUUCGACGAGUCGAGUUGUUUGGGAAUGCAGCUCUAAGCGGGUGGUAAAUUUCAUCUAAAGCUAAAUACUGGUCGGAGACCGAUAGCGCACAAGUAGAGUGAUCGAAAGGUUAAAAGCACCUUGAAAAGGGAGUUAAACAGCACGUGAAAUUGUUGAAAGGGAAGCGCUUGCGGCCAGACUCGGGGGCGGGGUUCAGCGGGCGCUCGUCGCCCGUGUACUCCCCGUCUCCCGGGCCAGCAUCAGUUUCGACGGCCGGUCAAAGGCCCCCGGAAUGUGUCGUCUCUCGGGACGUCUUAUAGCCGGGGGUGCAAUGCGGCCCGUCGGGACUGAGGAACGCGCUCCGGCUCGGAUGCUGGCGUAAUGGCCGUAAGCGGCCCGUCUUGAAACACGGACCAAGGAGUCUAACAUCCACGCGAGUGUUCGGGUGUCAAACCCGUGCGCGCAGUGAAAGCGAACGGAGGUGGGAGCCUUAGGGCGCACCAUCGACCGAUCCUGAAGUCUUCGGAUGGAUUUGAGUAGGAGCGUGGCCGUUGGGACCCGAAAGAUGGUGAACUAUGCCUGAAUAGGGUGAAGCCAGAGGAAACUCUGGUGGAGGCUCGCAGCGGUUCUGACGUGCAAAUCGAUCGUCAAAUUUGGGCAUAGGGGCGAAAGACUAAUCGAACCAUCUAGUAGCUGGUUCCUGCCGAAGUUUCCCUCAGGAUAGCAGUGACGAUAUUCCAGUUUUAUGAGGUAAAGCGAAUGAUUA